This 253-nucleotide ribosomal RNA is filed under the name uncultured prokaryote. Its description in RNAcentral is "partial 16S ribosomal RNA". It matches the Rfam family "Bacterial small subunit ribosomal RNA", at positions 524 to 776 of the family's 1533-position model. The record is from RNAcentral.
UACGGGGGGGGCAAGCGUUGUUCGGAAUUACUGGGCGUAAAGGGCUCGUAGGCGGCCAACUAAGUCAGACGUGAAAUCCCUCGGCUUAACCGGGGAACUGCGUCUGAUACUGGAUGGCUUGAGGUUGGGAGAGGGAUGCGGAAUUCCAGGUGUAGCGGUGAAAUGCGUAGAUAUCAGUCGGAACACCGGUGGCGAAGGCGGCUUCUUGGGCCUUUACUGACGCUGAGGCGCGAAAGCCAGGGGAGCGAACGGG